Paramuricea clavata is the source of this 69-nucleotide non-coding RNA. The record is from the annotation of a GenBank genome assembly. NCBI's taxonomy places the organism in Eukaryota, Metazoa, Cnidaria, Anthozoa, Malacalcyonacea, Plexauridae.
CUCCGUAGCUCAGUUGGUUAGAGCGAUGCACUGGAUAUGCAGGGCCACAGGUUCGAUUUGUGCAAGAGG